GCUUUUACAGUAUGAAAAUUGGUGAUUUAUAAUAACUUAGCAAAUCGCAAAGUGAAAACAGGCGAUAAAUCAUUCAAGUUUCUGACCUAUCAGCUUUCGACGGUAUGGUAUUGGCUUACCGUGGCAGUGACGGUUAACGGGGGAUUAGGGUUCGAUUCCGGAGAGGGAGCCUGAGAAACGGCUACCACAUCUAAGGAAGGCAGCAGGCGCGCAAAUUACCCAAUUCUAACAGUUUGAGAGAGGUAGUAACAAGAAAUAACAAUACAAGGCAGUUAAAAUGCUUUGUAAUUGGAAUGAUAGAAAUUUAAACCCUUUUUAAAGUAUCAAUUGGAGGGCAAGUCUGGUGCCAGCAGCCGCGGUAAUUCCAGCUCCAAUAGCGUAUAUUAAAAUUGUUGCAGUUAAAAAGCUCGUAGUUGAAGUUCUGCUAAAAGUAACCGGUCUGCUUUUAAUAAAGGUGGUAUCUUGGUGUGUAUUUAGCAAUGAUGUCCUUUGAAGUGUUUUUUACUUUAUUGUAAUAAAGCAUAUUCAGGACUUUUACUUUGAGAAAAUUAGAGUGUUUCUAGCAGGCUAACGCUUUGAAUACUGCAGC
This 589-nucleotide ribosomal RNA is filed under the name Hepatozoon canis. RNAcentral describes it as "bacterial SSU rRNA". It matches the Rfam family "Eukaryotic small subunit ribosomal RNA", at positions 227 to 808 of the family's 1831-position model. Lineage: Eukaryota; Apicomplexa; Hepatozoidae. The record is from RNAcentral.